AAAGCUCGUAGUCGAAUCUGUGUCCCGCGCCGCCGGUUCAUCGUCCGCGGUGUUAACUGGCGUGCCGCGGGACGUCCUGCCGGUGGGCUUAGCUCGCAAGGGGGUCCAACUCAAUCCCGCCGCGGUGCUCUUCACUGAGUGUCGAGGUGGGCCGGCACGUUUACUUUGAACAAAUUAGAGUGCUUAAAGCAGGCUAAAACUUCGCCUGAAUACUGUGUGCAUGGAAUAAUGGAAUAGGACCUCGGUUCUAUUUUGUUGGUUUUCGGAACCCCGAGGUAAUGAUUAAUAGGAACGGAUGGGGGCAUUCGUAUUGCGACGUUAGAGGUGAAAUUCUUGGAUCGUCGCAAGACGGACAGAAGCGAAAGCAUUUGCCAAAAACGCUUUCAUUGAUCAAGAACGAAAGUUAGAGGUUCGAAGGCGAUCAGAUACCGCCCUAGUUCUAACCAUAAACGAUGCCAGCUAGCGAUCCGCCGACGUUCCUCCGAUGACUCGGCGGGCAGCUUCCGGGAAACCAAAGCUUUUGGGUUCCGGGGGAAGUAUGGUUGCAAAGCUGAAACU
Molecule: ribosomal RNA, 558 nt
Filed under: Stenocorus amurensis
Lineage: Eukaryota; Metazoa; Arthropoda; Insecta; Coleoptera; Cerambycidae
Description: SSU rRNA
Rfam family: Eukaryotic small subunit ribosomal RNA
Source: RNAcentral